Molecule: ribosomal RNA, 534 nt
Filed under: Streptomyces sp. LK2332.1
Lineage: Bacteria; Bacillati; Actinomycetota; Actinomycetes; Kitasatosporales; Streptomycetaceae
Description: bacterial SSU rRNA
Rfam family: Bacterial small subunit ribosomal RNA
Source: RNAcentral
CCUUCGGGGUGUUUNAAUGGCGAACGGGUGAGUAACACGUGGGCAAUCUGCCCUUCACUCUGGGACAAGCCCUGGAAACGGGGUCUAAUACCGGAUACGACACACGACCGCAUGGUCUGUGUGUGGAAAGCUCCGGCGGUGAAGGAUGAGCCCGCGGCCUAUCAGCUUGUUGGUGGGGUGAUGGCCUACCAAGGCGACGACGGGUAGCCGGCCUGAGAGGGCGACCGGCCACACUGGGACUGAGACACGGCCCAGACUCCUACGGGAGGCAGCAGUGGGGAAUAUUGCACAAUGGGCGAAAGCCUGAUGCAGCGACGCCGCGUGAGGGAUGACGGCCUUCGGGUUGUAAACCUCUUUCAGCAGGGAAGAAGCGAAAGUGACGGUACCUGCAGAAGAAGCGCCGGCUAACUACGUGCCAGCAGCCGCGGUAAUACGUAGGGCGCAAGCGUUGUCCGGAAUUAUUGGGCGUAAAGAGCUCGUAGGCGGCUUGUCACGUCGGAUGUGAAAGCCCGGGGCUUAACCCCGGGUCUGCAU